UUUAGAGUUUGAUCCAUGGCUCAGGAUGAACGCUGGCGGCGUGCCUAAUACAUGCAAGUCGAGCGAACUGAUUAGAAGCUUGCUUCUAUGACGUUAGCGGCGGACGGGUGAGUAACACGUGGGCAACCUGCCUGUAAGACUGGGAUAACUUCGGGAAACCGAAGCUAAUACCGGAUAGGAUCUUCUCCUUCAUGGGAGAUGAUUGAAAGAUGGUUUCGGCUAUCACUUACAGAUGGGCCCGCGGUGCAUUAGCUAGUUGGUGAGGUAACGGCUCACCAAGGCAACGAUGCAUAGCCGACCUGAGAGGGUGAUCGGCCACACUGGGACUGAGACACGGCCCAGACUCCUACGGGAGGCAGCAGUAGGGAAUCUUCCGCAAUGGACGAAAGUCUGACGGAGCAACGCCGCGUGAGUGAUGAAGGCUUUCGGGUCGUAAAACUCUGUUGUUAGGGAAGAACAAGUACCGAGAGUAACUGCUCGUACCU
This 485-nucleotide ribosomal RNA is filed under the name Bacillus sp. HSS-7021. Its description in RNAcentral is "bacterial SSU rRNA". It matches the Rfam family "Bacterial small subunit ribosomal RNA", at positions 1 to 480 of the family's 1533-position model. Lineage: Bacteria; Bacillati; Bacillota; Bacilli; Caryophanales; Bacillaceae. The record is from RNAcentral.